AUGGCAGGGAAAGGAUUCUGGGAUGGCCCCAGUGAUGGGACAGGGCUCCAGCUGCAUGGGGGAUGCUUGGAGAGCUCUUGCAGAGCCGUCCUGGAUGCUGGCCCUGCUGUGUGCAGGGGAAGACAAAUUCAUCCCCACCAGCAGGGCAGCCCAGGUGUGGAGGUCACCAGCUGCGUGUCGGAGCUUGGAUUGUUCUGGAAGCCCUGGAAAGGCGCCGAGGCAGGGCCACACGGGUCCAGCAGAGCCCCCAGCGCCCCAGGAAGCUCCGCAGCUCAGCCCGUGCCUAGGGCCGGCUCCGGCAGCAAACGGCGACGGCCGCGGGCGGGCUGCUCCCCCCCCCCCCCCCCCCCCCCCCCCCCCCCCCCCCCCCCCCCCCCCCCCCGCGGGCGGGCUGCUGCCGGGAAGGGCGGCUGCCACGCAGGAACUGUGCAGGGCGUAGGCGCCCAGGGAGCCAGGGCGCUGGGACACGGCGUUACAGCCCGCCAGCGUCCAGCCGUCCCCACAGGACACUGUCACCUAACGGGAGAGAGGCCGGCAUGGCUCAGCAAAGGGCCGUGUUCCCACGGGUCAGGGGGAUGUGACUGCUGCCACCCGGCUGGGUGGGAUGGGGUGUCCCAUUACAGGUGCGGACAGCCACAACGGGCUGAAGACACGCCGAAGCCCAUCAGCGUGGCAGGGGGACAGGCGGAGACAAAAGACACGGCACCAGGCGGAGGAGCGUGGCCCAUCCCUACCUUCUCCUCGGGCUCCAGGGCCGUGUGCUCCUUCAGCUGGCACUCGAGGCUGGCAGCGGGGCAGCACAAGGCGUGUGCCAUCACCCCUGUCCUGCUGGCACAGCGGCUGGGCCCCCUCCCCUGCCCCACCACGGGCCUGCCACCGGCACCCAGCACCACGGAUGGGGAGUGGAAACUGCACCCUGCCCGGGGGAGAGGGGACACUGGCACAGGGCAGACACAGCAGCAUCCCAAUGCACACGCUGGUGCCAAGGAUGCCCCAAGAGAGCCCUCAACCUUCCCCACUCCAGCACACAGCACGUGUACCCCUUCCCUGCCACCCCAGCAACCCCACCCACCCUUUCCUCCCAAAUCCCAGCGUUUUUCUGGAAGAAACACCCUUGUCCGUCAGGCUCAGAGGUGUGUAACCCCGCGUGUUGGGUGUUACCAGUCAGCACGUGUUCUCCUGGCGAGCACUCGGCCCCCUCGGCCGCCGGGGAGCUGGCACUGA
This 1224-nucleotide long non-coding RNA is filed under the name Ficedula albicollis (Collared flycatcher). Its description in RNAcentral is "lncRNA (ENSFALG00000026816.1)". The record is from RNAcentral. Lineage: Eukaryota; Metazoa; Chordata; Aves; Passeriformes; Muscicapidae.